RNAcentral lists this unclassified non-coding RNA (3527 nucleotides) under Daphnia pulicaria. RNAcentral's name for it is "uncharacterized LOC124312998, transcript variant X4". Lineage: Eukaryota; Metazoa; Arthropoda; Branchiopoda; Diplostraca; Daphniidae. The record is from RNAcentral.
AGGUAGUAAGAUUUACAUUUUGAAAAUGGACGCGAACAAAGGGUAGAUGCUCAUUUUUUUUCAAUUAUUUCGUUGCGAAUAUUAUUUGCAAUUUGCAUUUUGCAUUUUGUUGUCAGCGAAUUUUGUUUUUUUUGGUUCGUAUCUUAAUUUUGCGCUCGACAAUUUUUUAAAUCUGGCAAUAGUGCAUCUCGUAAAAAUAAUGCAACCGAUUUUUCGCGCCCAGCAUUUUAGGGUAGGCUAAAGGGCGACAGAGAAAAAUAAUAUUUAGAAAUUGUUUUCGUUGACUGUUUUGGGUGCCAUUUUGUACUUUUGAGGUCUUUCAGAUUAGUCGAUUUAGAUAACUGUUUUUCUUAAUAUGCCUCAGCCGAAAUGGUACGGAAAAUCUCUUUCGGCAUUGUGCAUGGACAAUAUCGUCGAUAACAUGGAGAAAUGGACGGCAUUACGUAGUUCGGAGUAUGUUUCCUAUCAUUUUUAUCAUCAGCCUUCACAUUGUCUGGACAACAUAACUGAAUGUCUCUUGAAAGACCAUAGACUACGAAGAAGUCAAUGGUCGAAAGGCUACGCUAUAACAGAGGACAUGUUGGAUUUAUUACUUUUAAGCCCACACAGGAAAGUUCUGGAUUUAUCAAAAGAUUAUCAGGGCACUGGACAUGAUCUACAAAGAAAUUUUCGCAUCUUUCGUCAGGCAUCUGUCAAUUGUUUGCAACUCACCACACUGAAGAUCGAUGAUGGCUGUUUUCCUUCCGAUUCAAACAGAAAUUUUGAAGUAGAAGAAUCUUUUGCUGCUAUUUUGCAGCUUUUCGAACACCUGCAGAUCCUUAGUUUAACUGGCACAAUUUAUGGUGCAAGAAGCAUGCUCAAACUUGGAUCAACCAAUAAACCAAAAAUAAGGGAGUUGCUAGUUGAUAGAUUCCCUGGUGUGACCGAUACAGUAGUUGAAGUGUUUUGCAAUGGUCAAAGUGGCCUUCACAAAUUAUCAGUUAAUCGAACGGAAGUGACUCCUAUCGGAAUUCAAUGUGCUAUCGAACAUUUACCAGAACUGGAAGAAUUAAAUUGCAGCAAUGAGUCUUAUAUCCUGAUGCAAGCUUUUCAAAGAAUUCCUAUUGAAACCAGAGAAUCAAAAAAAUAUUCCUUGACCAAGUUGUGUAUGAAUACGGAGGACCGAAAAGUCCCCUAUAAAAAAGGCAGCGUUUCAUUGAUGGUUGACAAGUGUCCGUUGAUCGACGAUCUUUUCGUAGGUGUAUACGACGAAGGAUUUACGAAUGAGGAGUUUUUAGGUUUUCGAGAACUUAAACGACUAAAAAAUCUCAUAAUUUCCCAAUCCACGAUGUCACCGGUCUUUAUUCGUGGCGGAGUAAUUCCUCUUCUACAAUCUCGUGGCCCUACACUUGCAGAGUUAACUUUAUGUGUGGAAGUAACGAGUGCAGAAGUAUAUCUCAUCAUCGAGUGCUGCCCGAAUGUUCGCCGUUUGUGUCUUGCUAUGAAAGGAAUGGAUCUGGAAACUCCUGAACUGGUGGUAGAUGAUCGCGUCCACUCUUCUCUUUGUUCCCCAAAACAAGUAAUUCCGUUAAGGAUGCUGGAAGAAAUCUCUCUCUACCCUGCUAACCAUUUUUCCCCUAUCUACGCCAUUUCACGCAAAUUGUUGCUAUUGCUUUUGUCUUCCCCUACUCUUACAGAUAUUUCCAUAAAAAAGUGUUUUACUCUUGAUGACCAGAUCAUUGAGGAAGCUUGCACUGAAAACAGUUUCAAGUAUUUGACGAGGUUAAAGUUUCACGGUUGUUCUAAUGUGAGCCAGAAAGGCAUCGAUUUUUUCCUGAAUGAAACGAAUCCUUUGGACGGAAUAACUGUAAAAAAAUGUGGAAAUGUGAACCUUGAGCAUAUGAAAACCAUGGCUCAAGAGAAGCACUGGAAUGUCAAGUGGAAUGUUGAGCUUAAGAGGAGGGGUGAGAAAAAGUCGUAUAAAAGGCGAGAGAAAAGGCCAUAUGGAUCAGUCGAGCGACUAUCUCCGACACGGUAACAGCUGCAGUGCUCUAUUUGCCAUCAGCUGCAUUCUUCAUCGUAUAUCAGUUCUCAAUCAUGGUCGUACAAAAGGGCAAGGAAAAGGCGAAAUAAUUCAGUAGCCGAGUGAGCAUCUCCGACACGGUAGCAGCAACUGCAGUGCACCAUUUGUCACCAACUGCAUUCUUCGGCGAAUUGCUAGUUUAAAUCAUUGUUAACUAUGGCGUCAUGCUGCUGUUGGGUGAUGCAUCGUUGAUGGCUGGUUCAGCCACUGCCCAUUGGUGUGCCGAUGACUCCUGGUAAGGCGGAUAACAAAUUGCAAACCCGCCACAUUACUACACGACAUACGACACGACCAGUUGCUACACCGUGGCCCCCCAGUACUGCACCAAGGCUCCAGAAUAUUACAUCACAACUUAUGCUGCCCUGAGCUACUGCACCGAAUCCUUGACGUAUUAUUCUUCCUCGAGCUAAACUACUAAAGGGUCGAGUACUACACCGAAUCCCCGAUGCUCCGAAGUACUACACCACCAAGGCACCGUAGACACCACUACAUAUCAUGGUCGUAUGAUAGGAGAAAAAAGGUGAAAGAAUUCAGCAGCCGAUUUAGGAUCUCCGUUACGUCAACAGGAACUGCCGUGCACCAUUUUUCAUCAACUUCAUUCUUCGUCGUAUCACAAAUUUUAAAUAAAGUAACGUUGAUGGCCGGGUCGACCACUGGUGUACCAAUAUCUCCUGGGUAUGGUGGGCAUCAACAACAACAUACGCAAAAACCGCUUACUACACUGAGACCCCAAAGUGCCAUACCACCGAAGAUCAACUUUUUACCCCAUCGAAGCGCCCAAGUACUGCACUACAACCUACGUCGCCCUUGCUUACACCACGCAGGGAGCGGAGUACUACACCACGCAGGGAGCGGAGUACUUCACCAAGGCUGCAGUUUACUUCACUACAACCUACUCUGCUUCAGAGUACUACACUGAUGUUUCAAAGUACUACACCAUUAAAGGCUUGAGUAGAAGCUCCAAAAGCACUUCUCUGUCCCGAGUUACUACACCACUAACGCAGCCAAAUCAUACCCCAAACUACGAUUCCGCAAUAUUCUACAAGGAAAUUCCUUAUUACUAGAACCGAAAUUUCUACUCGAGGUUAUUUAUAUUUAUCGGUUGUUUUCAUGGUAAUUGGUCGCUGGGAAUCAAUUGUUGAUCUUAAAUGAGAAAAUAUAAGUUUUAAUACGGGUAACUCUUUUGUAAGAUCUUGUUAGUAACUUAAAGCCUGUUAACAUUGCGACAGGUGUCUUUUGGUGUUGGAUUUCUUCAAGGCCAGUAUGCUAAGUUGUAAAUUAUUUUACGUUUAACUACUGCCUUAGUUACUCUCAUUGCUGUUGUGGUUUGACGAUGUUUAAGGGCAAAAUAAGAAAGAAACUUGUAACUGUUGAUUUUUUCAAAUCUUGUAAAUAAGAGGUGACUGACCCUUGUAUAAAUGAAAGACUUUGAAGUUGAGGAAAAUAUAUUGAUAUAAUUCCUAAA